CCCUCCCUCUGGCUUCAUGCCUAACACAUGCAAGUCGAACGAGACCUUCGGGUCUAGUGGCGCACGGGUGCGUAACGCGUGGGAACCUGCCCUUAGGUUCGGAAUAACUCCCCGAAAGGGGUGCUAAUACCGGAUAAUGUCUUCGGACCAAAGAUUUAUCGCCUUUGGAUGGGCCCGCGUUGGAUUAGCUAGUUGGUAGGGUAAAAGCCUACCAAGGCGACGAUCCAUAGCUGGUCUGAGAGGAUGAUCAGCCACACUGGGACUGAGACACGGCCCAGACUCCUACGGGAGGCAGCAGUGGGGAAUAUUGGACAAUGGGCGAAAGCCUGAUCCAGCAAUGCCGCGUGAGUGAUGAAGGCCUUAGGGUUGUAAAGCUCUUUUACCCGGGAUGAUAAUGACAGUACCGGGAGAAUAAGCUCCGGCUAACUCCGUG
Molecule: ribosomal RNA, 433 nt
Filed under: uncultured bacterium
Lineage: Bacteria
Description: partial 16S ribosomal RNA
Rfam family: Bacterial small subunit ribosomal RNA
Source: RNAcentral